RNAcentral lists this ribosomal RNA (208 nucleotides) under uncultured Pseudomonadaceae bacterium. RNAcentral's name for it is "partial 16S ribosomal RNA". It matches the Rfam family "Bacterial small subunit ribosomal RNA", at positions 568 to 775 of the family's 1533-position model. The record is from RNAcentral. Lineage: Bacteria; Pseudomonadati; Pseudomonadota; Gammaproteobacteria; Pseudomonadales; Pseudomonadaceae.
CGCGUAGGUGGUUCAGCAAGUUGGAUGUGAAAGCCCCGGGCUCAACCUGGGAACUGCAUCCAAAACUACUGAGCUAGAGUACGGUAGAGGGUGGUGGAAUUUCCUGUGUAGCGGUGAAAUGCGUAGAUAUAGGAAGGAACACCAGUGGCGAAGGCGACCACCUGGACUGAUACUGACACUGAGGUGCGAAAGCGUGGGGAGCAAACAG